Molecule: long non-coding RNA, 390 nt
Filed under: Medicago truncatula (barrel medic)
Lineage: Eukaryota; Viridiplantae; Streptophyta; Magnoliopsida; Fabales; Fabaceae
Description: long non-coding RNA (MTRU_LNC006194)
Source: RNAcentral
UUUAUUUCUUCUGUGCCCUUUUGCAACUAAUUUAUGGACUUGGCUUGGUGGCAAACUUAACUGUUUGAUAGAUUGUAAGUCAGCUCUUUCUCUUUUAUCUUGCAUUCCUGGUCAGUGCUCUUCUCAGAUAGCGGAUAUAUACCUCGCGGCCGUAAUUCACACCGUUCAUGCUAUUUGGCUCGCUCGGAAUAACAUUCAGUUCUCUUCGACUACUACAACCUUUCACUCCGCAAAGGUCCGCAUUCACUCUUGGAUCGCUAUGUCUGGUACUACCUCGACUGGGAAUUGCUUGCCUUCGGACUCGCAUUUACUAGAUUCUUUUGCGGUUGCUGCUCAUUGUCGCACUAUUAGGGAGAUCAUCCCGGUGUUGUGGAAGGCUCCAACCUCUCC